GACCAAGAUGUUACCACAGCGCUGGAAGC
This 29-nucleotide non-coding RNA is filed under the name Rattus norvegicus (Norway rat). Lineage: Eukaryota; Metazoa; Chordata; Mammalia; Rodentia; Muridae. The record is from RNAcentral.